UAUUAAACUUUCAUCCAUAUGAAUUGUUAAAAACUGGUAUGGUUGACGGAUAACUAGACAGUGACAAGUGGUGUGCCAUAUGUACCUCAUGUUGACAUACAAGGACCAAUUUUUAACACAAGAAUUGAUGGAUUUUUUAACA
Molecule: non-coding RNA, 142 nt
Organism: Gossypium raimondii (Peruvian cotton)
Lineage: Eukaryota; Viridiplantae; Streptophyta; Magnoliopsida; Malvales; Malvaceae
Source: Rfam